Long non-coding RNA from Corticium candelabrum, 950 nucleotides. RefSeq lists it as uncharacterized. NCBI's taxonomy places the organism in Eukaryota, Metazoa, Porifera, Homoscleromorpha, Homosclerophorida, Plakinidae. The transcript is spliced from 3 exons. The record is from RefSeq and is a predicted model, not a curated record.
UAUUCGAUAGUCGCGUUACAGCCCUAGAUUCUUGUUGUAUUCUAAAUGACGGAAGUGUGGAACGUGCGUGCGCUCUUCGAUCAGUAACUGCAAUGCUUGUUUCAAAGGGGUCCCCGUUUUGGGAUCGUUGUCUACUACAAGUCGUGCGAACGGCACGAAUCGACUUUCCAGGGCACUGGAUACGAGUAAUGGGUUUCUGAGGCCAUACUCUUACGAUGUGACGAUUGCUCGUGCGUUGAAAGCAUUUUGGUCUAAGGUGUUUGCACAGUUUACAGCAGGAAAUGUGGUUGGUGGAAAUUAUGAGCUGUUAAGAAUUUGGUGUUCAAGUUUUUGUAAGAGAGGAUGUUGGAGUUGUGACUGGCUCAAGCACUCAUUUUGUGUCGAACAACGCUCGUCUCGAGGGUUAUGCUAACAUAUCUCAUCAGCUGAUCUAGAUCUAUUAUACCUAUAAAUCCAUCAAAUGCACGGCUACAGAGGAAGCAAAGACAAGAUUUGAUUAGGAUGGGUUACUGUCAUGGAAAGUAGAAUGUUGAUUUGGAUAGUCAGGUUACAUUUGCAACCUUUGAGUGGGAAGUCUAUAGGUAAUGGGAGUAAUUGCAGCUCUCACAGAGGUAUUUUUGCAACACCACAGUUAGGAGAAAUAUGGAUUAAUAAAGAUCAAUUAUGGCAGUAUUGGCUGCAGAAAAUAACUGCAAACUACCAAAAAGGACAACUGCAACUACUGUGAAUGGUUCUAUAGCAGACAAUCAAGACUACCAAAUCAGACUGGAUUUCUAUUCAAGCACUGCAUGUUUUUGAUUCUGCUUGUAGAUUAUUUUUACUGCUUGAGAUGGUUUAUUUUGUGUGAUAUGGAUAUGUUUAGUCUAUACUCUUCAAUUUUACAAGCGUUUGUUGAAUGUGUCAGCAGCAACUUGUUAUCAACGAUAUUCAUGAAUGUUGUAAGAAAUAUA